This 17059-nucleotide long non-coding RNA is filed under the name Pelobates cultripes (western spadefoot toad). Lineage: Eukaryota; Metazoa; Chordata; Amphibia; Anura; Pelobatidae. The record is from RNAcentral.
CUGUGCUGAGAGCUCUCAGUAUUAGUCUGGAGCUUCCUGCACCCUGCAUCCUUCCUGCCUGGCAUGCCAGCACUGGAUACAUUGUAACCCUCCACCCCCCCAUCCUUCCAUGGUAGCUCCCCUGGAUACAUUGUAAUAGUACCUCCAUGUGAUUGGAUUCACUGGAAGAGCUCACCAGGUGGGGGGUCCACAACAGGACCACUUUCAAAGUGUUCAUUGCUGGCUGUGACUUUGCUGAUCUGCACCUCCUGAGCCCCUGCAGGGGGAGGGACCCUGUGACUUUGGAUUUAAGGGACAGGAAGAUAGCCCUGGGCUCCUGGAAACUUGCUGGGUUCCUGCAGUGUGGAUGGUGAGUCUCCAAUCUAUAGCACUGCUAGCUGAGCAGGUAUCUAGUGACAGCUCACACAGCAUGCUGGGACAGCUUGACACCCAGCAACUGCAUUCACUGGCUGAGGGUAAUGGGAGAUGGAGUUCUGAACCUCACUGUGUGCCAAGCUGAUCCAGCAGUGCCAGACAGGUCUGUAAUCAUUAGAUGCACUCUGACCCUAUUGCAGCAUCUUAUCACUGCUCUGUUUAUCACCCUGUUUAACCCCUUUACCCUUGGAUCUGUCCUGGUAAUGUCAGCAUUGAGCAGCUUGGAUACAAUGGAUAAAUAAUAUUAAUAAUAAUAAUAUAUGGGGAGGGAUACAGGGAGAUGAAGCUGGGUUGGGAUGUACAGACCUCUAGCUUUGUAUUAUAUGCUAAUAUCAUCAAUAUCAUGCUCCUUCUUAAAUGAAACCCUUAGUAAUUCUAAUCAACCUCUGUCAUCAAAGUGUCUGUUUCUCUGUCUAAUCCCUUUCUCCUUCUAAUACACAGAUAGUGAUCCCAUUUCUCCUUAUUAUGUGGGUGGUGGUGGUGGUUUUGAAGGGUGUGUUUGUGGGUACUUGUCUUGCAUUUAGAGUGUAGGAGUUUCUUAUUCCACUGAAUUGCUUUUGUUCUUGCUCCAGAUGAAUAAUACCCUGUUCACAAUUUGAACUGACCAUGCUGCCAUAUAUGUGUGUGGUUGAAUGAAGUACAGUGUGUUUUUUAGUGUACUGUAAUGUUUUCUGACUGUGUGAAAAUACUUAUUAUAGCUUAUUCACCAAACCGUGAAUUAUAAACAUGAAUUUUGGCCACAACAUCAAAAUUGGAAAAACAGCCGUGUUGGAGAAAUCUACCCUUUUUGUACCCAUUCUGGGUUUAUUGAAUAAACUGCUUGGUCUCGUAAUGAUACAGUGACUUGUAAUGAAUUGAAAAUGAACUCCCCACUGUGCAGUAAAACUAGCUAUUUUUGGUCAAUAUCUGACAGUCACCUUGCUAUUAAAUUGUCAAUUCAUUGUUUAGCAAUCAAAUAAAAAAUGCCAGCCCUUAUUGAAAUGCUUUUAUUCUAAUAUUAUAUUUUAUUUCUAUUAUUGCAUUAUUUAUUUAGAUGUUUUUGAAGAGAAGGCUGAUUGCUAAUAACAUCAUGAUACAAUAUAUUUACUCUUUAAAACAAGGCUUGCGCUGUUAUUUACUGUACGGAUUUAACCCUUCACUAUCCUGCCGUAGUGUCUAUCUAAGGGGUUAAGGCGGGAGGCUAGCGGUUUGUCUGGCUCACAAAUAUUAUGCGAUAAUCCCUAUUUUAUUUCUCAAUAGAAACCUCAUCUCUUAGUGUAGCUCCAGUAACUUGCAAUUUGAUUUUCAAAAAAUAUUUCUGCCUGUGUUCCUAGUAGAAGCCUCAGGAAUAUUUGUGAUCCGCUUUAAGUUGAUUUGUUUCCAGUCCUUUAAAUCCACGUGCGCUUUGGGAUUAUCUGCUGCUUCAAGUGGAGCUGUCAGAGAGAAUAUAAGGUAAAGAGAACAUUACAGUGAAGAUAGCUCUGACCGUAUCUGAGUGCUGUGCCCUUAAAUCUGUUAGCCCAUCAUAUAACUAGUGGUCCUACAGUUGGCGUCUAGCCCUCUGCCACUGUUGGCCACAUAGCCGCUUUAAUCAAGUACCAUUCCACUCGCUGGGUGAUCUAAUUACACGUUUGUAUAUUCUCUGAUGAUAAAGAUACUCUAAGGAACUAGUAUUUCUAAGCCUUGGAUGCCCACGAUAUCGGGAAAUUUUGGCCUUGAAUUGUCCGUACUCUGGAUUCAUGAUUUGGUGAAUACAAGUCUAGAAAUAUAUAUUUGAAACUAAAUCUGAAUGGCAAAAUGUAUAAAAAUAGAUGGACUAAAUAGUAAUUAAUUAUUUUCCCCCCAAAUUGACUAUUUUCAUUCAGAUUCCAUUUACACAUGCUUUGGAGUUUAGUCGCGAUCACUGCUUGAUGUGAAAACCUAAUGAAAUAAUUUUAAGCUGAAAGAUUGAUGCUAUGUAUGUGCAUAUGUUGGAGAUGUCUUGCUUAUUUUUGGCUAAAACCUCACUCUUCUCAAACAAUUCACUUUUCCGUAAAUAAACCACUUUUCAUUUUUGCUGCCUAUAUAUAGAUCCAAAUAUGAAUGAAUUAAUCACGGAAAGGAUCCCUCAGGCAGGGUUUGGCAGCAUGUGAAUACUGGAAGGUAGUUCUCGCCAGUCCUCUUCUGCCCCUGUGAAACUCAAAGCAGAAUAAGGGAAAAACUGGCUUACAUUCAGACUGUUAUUGCCAUUCCUGUCUGUCAAAAGUGUCUUUUUAACAAUUUUUUUUUUAUUAGGGCAGUGCAUGUUUUAUUGAUUAAUAUUUAAUGUCAAUCCUUAUCUGUUGUGAAUGGGAUAAAAUACAGCCCAACACCAGGUAACACUGUGAUCCUACACAAAAUGAAUAAGGGAGUCUAGCAAGUGUAUAGAUGUUGCCCAUCUCAUAAUGAAAUGGCAUGAAUGUUCAAGAUCUGACACCUCCAUAUCCUCAGCUGUUAUAGCUACAAAAACUAAUACAAAAUUGUGACAUCACAUGUAAAUUUAAAUGAUUUCAAGAAUCGAAAUAAAUCUUCGUGCUCCGGCUGGUUGGCACACUGACACAAAGACCGUAUUGUGCUUUGGGAGGCAUUAUUAAUUUGGCACAGGAACAGGGCAAACAUUGGGUUAAGCAACCUCUUACAAAGAAAAUUUAUAAUACUAAGAUCACAUAUUGCGUAAUCCAAACAGGCUUUAUAACUCGAUCGCUGUAUGUUUACUUGGUUCCCAACCAAUUCCUCUGUGGGACAUUUCCUCGUUUCUAUUGACAUGACCGUCAACAUUCAUCGUACAUAAGGAGGCAAGGGGGAGUAACAGAAAGGUAUUUCUUGGGAAGAUUCCUUCGGUAUCAAUGGGCAUUGGUCCACUUCUAGAACGCUUCCUUAUUGGUUGUAAAUCUCUCCUGGAGUUCUUUAUUGGAAUCUACUGAGUCAGCUGGAAGACCAGUCCCCAUAGAGAAUGCUCGUCCUGUAAAAUGUGUAGAGUUGUACAUUGUAUCUGCACAGACGGUGUGUCAUGGGCCAUAGCACAUCCUUAAUAUUUUAAAACAAAAAAUAGUGGAGUGUGUAUAAAACCGUAAUAAUCAUAUCACCUAAACACAACACUGUGACUGGAUACAGAAGUCAUUCAAAAGUUGACCCUAAUUUUCCUUAUACGUAGAUUCAAAUAGACAUAGCUCUGUGUUUAAAAAGCAAUAUAUAACAAACAGUGUGACACUGGUUAUAAUAACUGAAAUUGUGAUAAUUGUGCUGAUAUCCGACUCACAGAGACUAAUAAAUGCCGGCUCUGGGGUGUAGUGCUGUAGGUGUCGUUAAUACUGAAUGAUGGCUACACUAUAUUACCUGCGGGGAACCCCGUGUAUGCCUUUUGGCUUCAAACUGAUUAUUGUGGAGAAGCUAAUCUAUCUGCUUUAUCUAAUGAUGUGAAGAGGAGCGCUGACCCCACUCCCACAUCCAGUGUUUUUACUCUUUUAAACUCAAGAAAUCCAAUGCGGUAUUUGGAACAUUGUGUCUGUUCUUGCAUUGGUGAAUUUGAUUUUACUACAUACCAUUUGCAGAUUGCCUGUUUUCAUGUAGGGAAUUCCAAUAACCGUAUGUGUCUAUAUUAGACAGGAGGCUGGUGGAAUGCCCCUAUAGUGCCUACUGCCUGUGACAGAGAGAUUUGGGUUCCUCCUAUAUAGACACUUUAUUAUUAAUAAUAAUAUAAUAUAUUAUUGGGUAUUUAUAAAGCACCAUCGCAGUCUGUGGGUACAAUUGGUACCAGUUAAAAGACAAAGUUAAAAAUGGUCCAAAAUGUAGCUGCAGUAAGAAUUCGAAGGUUAUGUUUAAAACGAACGGACAAGCUUUCAAAUGAUUAAAAGAUUUUGGUAAAUGUGUAAUUUGCCUAGCUAUGUUCCUAUUGGUCUAAACCCUAUUCUAUACAUAACCCUCAAUUGUUCAAAGGCUAUGAUUUGUGUGAUUGUACCUUCUACGUACUGACAUUUCACAUGUAUUUUCCAUUGUGAAUGUCUGCACUUGAUUUUGGCAAUCCCUAUGGUUACGGAAUCUGUGUGCCCCUUAUCUGUGGAUUGUACGUCUGGUUUUCUAAACCCGUUGAAUCUUGGAUCUGUAUUAAUUACCACCUGUACAGUUCACAACAAGGGAACUCUUGUAAUUAAAGAUAAUUGGGAGUAUUGCACAGAGGUGACGUGGCUAGUUUUGCAAGUAAAGUUAUUUAAUUUACAAAGUUCUAUUUCCUUUUAUUGUAAUUACACCAAGGAUCGCUUUCACAACUUUUGGGGAACAUUUCUCCCACUUCAGAUGUGCUAAUAAUGGUCUGAGUUACACUUUUACAAGUUUGUCAUUUGUAGUUUCUUCAUAAGUGACCCAGAUGAAUCCAAAUUCAAUGUGAAUUGCUGUAUUAAAAACAUUUUCUCCCUCCAUCUUAUUAACAAUAAAACAACUUUUUAAUCCCUUCUUGAAUUCGCACUGACUAUACUUUCUGUCAUUACAGAGUGUGCAUUGCAUGUUUUUGUUUUAAGUCAGAUUCCUAAAUCUCUAUCCUAGAUAAUCAUUGCAAGGAAUAAAGACUAAUAAUAUAAAAUAUACCAUAUAAUUUUCCCCUUUACUAAUUGAAAUGUAAGAAAAUGAAUAGUGGAAUUUAAAAAUUGUACCUUCCCAAAAAUCAUGUGGCUUGCUCGUGUCUGCAGCCACCCCUCGGAUGUCCAGCUGUACUUUCUGUGCCCACAUUGAGCCGCCUCGCUAACUGUGUUGUAUAAAUAGGACAGGUGUCUACAUGCUCUAGACCAGAGUAACAAAUUAUGCAAAAGAAUGCAGUCAAAGUUUCACAGGGGCGCUUGGGGGGGAAAAAAAAUCUAAAACAAACAAAAAACAAACCUGUUUUAUUUGCUGGAUUCUGCACUGUUUAGUGGUCCUUGUGGGUUGUUUUUAUUACACCUUUAAGCAGUAACCAAGACUAAACAUGUAGAGACAGUCUCUGUUCUGGGUUAAACAUCUCUGGAUUGCUUGUGCUGUCAUGUAGUUAGUUCUAAUGUGUCUCCGGAUUGCUGCGUAGUUGUGGAAGCUAAUAGGUAAUGUUGGUAAUCUGCACAUUUUAUGAUUUAUUAUAUAUAUAUAUAUAUAUAUAUAUAUAUAUAUAUAUAUAUAAUAUUGUUUGUUGUUUUUUUAAAAAAUUUUUUUUAUAUUGGAGGCUGUUUGAUGGGAGACACACACGCAAUAUUAAAUAUUGCCAUUACAGAACACAAUGUGUUCUGUGUCAGUCACGCUAAUGUAAGACACAAGGAGCAGUGCAAUGUCCGGUGGAGGGGAAGUGCGUUUUAUUAUUGUUACAUAUGUAAGUGGCAAUUAUGAAGAUGAUAGGAAGCCUAUAAUUACGUAUACAUUGAUUCUUGCAAUUAUUGAUGGUCUGCCGUUAUUUCUACAGACUACUGCGAUAUCAGAUUGUCGACUUCGAUAUUAUGCAACCUUUUAGAAUACAUAGAUCGGUCUGUGUUCUUGGUUACAGGUAAACAUUCAACAUUGAAAAUGAAAAUACUGUAGUGAAAAAGGAUUAAACCAGAAAAAAUAUAAAAUAAUUUACACACGGGCCCCAUUUUCAUUGGAUUUUACCGUAGGCAUAAAUAAGGGUCUGUGGCGGGCUUGGGAAGCUGUAUCUUGAACAAUUGAAAUAAUUUGAGGUUGGCUGAGGUUUAUGUGAGCUGUUACUUGUGUUAAAAGGUGUAGAUGACGCAGAGAGGAGCUAGACAGGCAAUGGGAGUGCAAACCAGCAGCUAUGUAGCUUGUCUUAAAGGACCACUUCAGCUCAAUGAAGUGGUCUGGGUGCCUUCAGAUGUAAAUCUAUGCGAAAAUCGCAUUCAGCAUGCAGAACAUCCAUAGGAAAGCAUUGAGAAAUGCUUUCCUAUGGGGGUUUUUAAUGCGCGCGCGACUCUGGCUGCGCAUUCCACUCCCCUCGGGAGCUAACGUCGGAGUGGGAGGAGAGGUCACCGGUGCUGAAUUAAAGUAAGUAGCUGAAGGAGUUUCAACCCCUUCAGCCCAGCGGGAGGGAGGCCCUGAGGGUGGGGGGUACCUAAGGGUUAUAUAGUGGCAAUGGACCAGGCCAUUAUUUUCACUAAAGUGUAAAUUGUCAGAAAUUCUAAGUGAAUUUUCCAAAUCCUCUUUAUUGCAAGUUAAGGAAUUUAGCUUAAAAUAUUUAAAUUUCAAAUUUAAAGGACCACUAUAGUGCUAGGAAAACAUACUCGCCCCCACUCUCAGGGCCCCCCUCCCGCCGGGUUAUAGGGUGAGGAAGGGGUUAAAUUUACCUCUUUCUCCAGUGUCGAGCGGGGGACUCUCCUCCUCCUCGGCUGAAUGUGCAUGUGCGGCACGAGCCAUGCGCGUACGCAUUCAGCCAGUCUCAUAGGAAAGCAUUCUCAAUGCUUUCCUAUGGAUGCUGGCAUCUUCUCACUGUGAAAAUCACAUUGAGAAGCACGGAAGUGCCUCUAGCGACUGUCAAUGAGACAGCCACUAGAGGCUGGAUUAACCCAUAGGUAAACAUAGCAGCUUCUCUGAAACUGCUAUGUUUAUAGAAAAAAGGUUAAUCCUAGCUGGACCUGCCACCCAGAGCACUUCAUUAAGCUGAAGUGGUCCGGGUGCCUAUAGUGGUCCUUUAAGGCCAAAAUAUCGUAAGUGCCUCCACUGAGGCACUACAUACAGGGCCCCCAUCAGGGCGUGCAGGCAAUCAGUUUUGUUAUUGCUGACUUUUCUAUUUGAUUGACAUCCUGCUCAUCAAUCCAGGGCUCUCGGAUUGUUUGGUGAUUGUUUGCAGUUAUCCAGCACCAUGCAAGAUACCGAUUGUCCAUUAGGCCUUGACAAGAGGUUUCUACUGCAGCGAUAUCUUCUUCACCAUGACUGUGAUAGGGGCCCAGAAAUCUGGCUACUGUAUUCUACCGCUUACUUUCAGGGGAUGCUCGUAAUAUACACCGAAAAGAAGACCUACUUAAGAUCUUUGCUAGGUCACUAAUCUAUGUUCAGGAAGUUUUCCCCAAACUGAUUGUUUUAGACCAAACCAAGUGUUUGCUUCAAUAUCUGCCCCUGUUCAGAUUGUUUAAAAUAAGGUGUGUGCACGCUGAAGUAAAUCACACUGACAACGAGUUUCAGAUUAAUGAAAAACUUCGGAAUGUUUACUUAGAGGGGCGACGAGCCUCUUAUAAAGCACAAAAUACAUAUGCAAAACAUGAGAACAUGAAAAGUACAUUUUUAAUUGGUCAGGUGUUAAGUGUCUUAUCUAAUGAACUUCCUCCAAAGUGUGAUGUCACCAUCAUCUCGGGAUUUUACUCCGGAUGGAGACGCCAUCUUGUUACACGAGGUGUUUCGGUCGAUGGGAGGGGGGUGCUCUAGCAGCCUUUUUGAGUAAAUGAUGAGCACAGGUGUACACAGUAAAUAGACAUUUUACCUACAUUAAUUUCUAUCCAUAACAAGAUUCGCGGGAUUUCGUGCGCUAGAGAAUUGGUCUGUGUCUGUGGGAAUUCCAUGAACGAAGACCUGCUUUCUUGCUAGUGCCUCCUUACUUACCUGCAAACUCGCUAUACGAUCAUGUCAUAAGAACGGAAUCUGGUUUGUAAGUGAGGAGUGUGUGUGUGUGUGUGUGUGUGUGUAUAUAUAUCCCCUGAAAAUAAUCCCUAAUGUGUUCUUUGAAGCAAGGAUUACAAUAAGAUCUACAAUUAGAGCUACAUUCUAAUUAAACAUUAAUGCAUUUCAUGUGAUCUAGAUUGGGGCUGGAGUCUCUUCCCCUGCGUGGUGUGUGUGUGUGUGUGUGUGUGUGUGUAUGUAUAUAUAUAUAUAUAUAUAUAUAUAUAUAUAUAUAUAUAUAUAUAUAUAUAUAUAUAUAUAUAUAUAUAUAUAAAUUUAUUUUAAAUAGGAGCUGCAGUCUCCCCUCCAGAUCGCCUACUUCCUGCGCAUGUCUGAUGUAGUGAUAGGAAGUCCGAAACAUUCAGAUGAAUCGGUUAAUUUCGGACGGUUUGUUCAAAUGAACCGGAUCCUGAACCAAUUGGUCAGUUCACUUACCUGACGCUCAGGUCGGGGCUGACUGAUUCGAGUAUAUCACAGAGUUGAACAGCAGUAGGAAUCCCAAGUCUAUCCACUAAAGGGUGAAUUGCAGGAGAAUUUCAAAAUCUAGGUUAAAAUAACCAAACUGUAAUAAUUCUCCAAUAUAACUCAAACUUCAAAAUCCACUAUUUUGGUCUAGAUUUUACAAUUCACAUGCAAUUCAUCCAUUACUGAACAGUCCUGUCAGGCAUAGUAAUGUACAGUGUGUGAGUAUAUCACAGAGCUCCACACUGCACAGCUAUUAAACUCACAGUAAUAUACAGUGUGAAUCACAGAGCUCCACACUGCACAGCUCCUCACAGUAAUAUACAAUGUGUGUAUCACAGAGCUCCACACUGCACAGCUAUUAAACUCACAAUAAUAUACAGUGUGAAUCACAGAGCUCCACACUGCACAGCUCCUCACAGUAAUAUACAGUGUGUGUAUCACAGAGCUCCACACUGCACAGUAAGGGGUGGAGUGAAUAAGUGAAUCACGUUAUCAAAAGGUUAAUUCUUUGGGUGCUGACAGUUAGAGGAAGUUUAGCAAGAGUCCUUAGGGUUAAUCUAUGAUGAGAAGUAAUUAUGAUAAAGGUUCAUUAGAGGUGUAUUUAGCGAUGAUGGUGUCCAAAGGGAAUCCAAAUAUCUGGGACAGUGACGGUUAAUCCUGUAUUUAGUUAUAGAGAGUAGGGGUCAGGGGGCUGGGAUUAAAAUAUAUGGUGUGUGUAUUAAAUACGACAUUUUAAUGUAAAAUAACAUUGAUUUACAAAUCUUAUUGAGGAGAAGGCAAUCAGAUCACAAAGGGUUAAACCAUCAAUCUAAAAAAUGAUCUCCUUGGAUCAUUAAGUAUAAAAAAAACAAAAAAACAAUUCAACCCUUACCACAACUGCAACCUGAUUAUUGAUUGUAAAGUUCUACUGACGACUUGAGAACUGCUUCUGAUCAGAUCUGUGAAUCCAUUUACUAAAAAAGGGAACUGUUUCAAACUAAUCAGUUCACUCCAAACUGAUUCACCAAGUUCAAAUCAAUUAAUGGGUCACAAACUGGACGUCCCUGGUCUCAUGAUCCAGGUAGAAGCUGCCGUCUCCCCCUUUAGACUGCUUCUUCCUAUUCAUGUCAUAUGAUACGUGUUCAUAUCUAUCUCAAGGUGAAUAUACUGAAUUUCUGCCAUAAUGAGAUAUUGAAUAUUUGACAAAUGGUGAUCUAUUCGUGCAGAAAAUACGUGUUUUGGAUUUUUUACUUCUCUCGUUUCGACAAUUUGUAAUCGCAGCCCCCUCUCAGGAAGAACCGAUGAAGCUGGCUUCCUGUAAUCUCCAGUAAAACCACUCGCAUUUCCCAUUCUCAUUGUGUUCUUCUCAGAACCUGCAACUCGUUAUCUGUCAGUUGAUUGUCGGCAAUUCUAACCAUUCUGUGUCCUGUGUUUAAAGCAACACUGUCACAUCGUAUUUACCUUCCUACUCGCUUUCUCUCCCUAUUUCCUACCCUGUCUUUCAUUUUUAAACAAUUUCUAACUAAAAACACAAGACAAAUUAGGGACUACAUUGUCGUAUGUAUUUUUCUUAUGCUUCACCUUCUUAGACAUCGGGCGAAGCUACAGUGUCAAACCCGACAGUCGUCACCAGCCUAGAAAAUGUUUAUUUUUUUUGGGGGGGUCGUUUAGAUGGCUAGAAAGCCAUUAGAGAUGAAUCCAGGGUGAUAAGGCAUUGGGGGUCUAUAACUUUAAAGCAUCGUGUUUACUGGUAAGAAUCCACAAUUAUUAGUAGAACAUUAUGUAUAAAGUUGUCUUACAGAAUUAUUUACCAAUGUGAUAAUUUAAAGUGAACCUGUUGUGUAAAAAAAUAACUUGCCUUAAAUACACUGAAUAAUACGAUAUUGCAAAGAUACCUGAUAUAUUAAAUGUGAAAUAUCGAGACGCCAGCGUGUCUGCGCCAUUUGACGCCUUGAAUUCUCACUUUAGUGAAAAAAAAACUGUAAAUAUUGCUUAUGUGUUUUUUUUUUUUUUUGUAUUGUUUUUUUCUUUCAACAUUGGGAGUUAUGAGAUCAAAACAAAUGAAUGGCUGAGCCGGAGCAGUCAGCGACACAUAUUGAACUACCGUAUUUAAUCUAAUCUAAUACGCCAUCGAAUCUAAUGCACACCUUAAUUUUUUAAACCUGGAAGUUGAAAAAUGUUUUUGCUGGUGAAUGUAAUGCACAUUUAUACAAGAAGAUAUUCCUAUACAACAUUGUGCUACAAUGAAAAUGUUUAUUGCCGUAUACCAUCGUAACAUUGAGGGUUUUUCAAUUUUAGUCUUGCAUGUUAAGUCUAUUCUUUCUUAAGCCCCCUUUCAGGAAUGGAAUUUGUUUGUUUAAAUUGACCAGUUUUAGGUCGCCUGUGUAAAAAUUCGAAUUUUACACCAAAUGUAAUGCACCAUUGAAUCUAAUUUGCAAAUUUUGGUAAACAUAAUUUUCCAAAAAAAGUGCGUAUUGGAUUCGAGUAAAUUUUAUUUAUUUAAUUUAUUUUACAUCUGGUAAAAUGCUCAAAUACUGGUCUGUCACCCCUGAUCUGGCACUGCUGGAUGGGAUGUAUAAUCCGCUUUUUAUUCUUAGAUUGUGACACUCACCUUUUUCAUUCAGAGAAUCCAGAUCAAACAUGUUCCUCUAUCAUAUCUGUUUUACUUAUUCGUUAUCAACGACCAGAAUUAGAUGAUUUUCUAUGCCAGUGACCUGGUAACAAUAACCGUUUCUAGAGGUAGUAUUAUAUAUAAAAGCGACACUAAUUGCAAGUUGCGCUACAUUCUCACAGCAAAGGACUUAAAUUUAGACGUUUAAUAGAGUUAAGCAGUUAAUGUGUUCUGGCUGAGUCAGUCAAUACUCUCCAGGAGUACGGACUUAGAUGGAUUUCUAGUAAAAAUAGAAAAAGUAGAAUUAAUGAAGUUAUUAGCUAUUGGGCUCAAUGUAUGAUCCAGAGUAAUAAAAAGAUACUUCCUGGAUUCGUCAUUUACUGCUAAACUGGAAUUGUGGAAAACUUGCAAGGGGGAAUGCAAGUUUAAGUCCAGAAAAUUGCUGAAAAUAGCCCAAAUAUGCAUUCGCUUUUUAAUUUCCAAACAGUUCCUGUUUUUCUAGAUAACCCUGUCUGUGCUUUUGUUUUUUUACUUCUGGACCGCAAAUCUUAAUGGAUCUAUCUUUUUAUUUUUUUUUAUUUUUAUUCAAGUUCAUUAACUAAAUUGCUAUAAUCUUUCAUUUCUUCAGUGUUAAGCAGUGUAAAACAGAGACAAACUGAGUUUGUUUACGUUGGGGAACGAGGCGCCUACCAGAGAAUAAUUGCUAUAUACAAGGUCAAUUUCCAUAGUAAAGGUCGCUUACUCAGACAUUUACAGGAGAUGACAUGGGGCAGUCUAUUAAAGUUGGAGGAAAGGAGAUCUCUGCAUCGGAAAGUUUUUUUUCUUAUUAUUUAAUAAUACAGUAAAGACAGGAAUUUACUGCAGAAUGAAGUGGUGUUAGCAGAUUCCAUUCAUGCUUUUAACCCCUUAAGGACACAUGACAUGUGUGACAUGUCAUGAUUCCCUUUUAUUCCAGGAGUUUGGUCCUUAAGGGGUUAAAGAGAAAAUUUAACUCAAAAAAGCAAUUUUUUUGCUUUGAUAAACUAAUAGGGGUAAAAAAAAAAAAAAAAGUCCUAUCACAUAGCAAAAAGAAAAGGGCAAAAGCGUUAAAUGGACAAAUGAAAGUACCCUCUCUGUGCAAGACCAACCAGGGUUCUCAAACAGUUCCAUUCUGUAAAUAUUUGUGUAGUUAUAAAAUGUAGCAAUGACUCGCAAAUGAUUAAUUAUUUCACAUUUUGUUUCGUCUAUUUUUUUUUCCACUUUAUUUUCAAAUAUCUCAUACUUUUACUCCAUUCCAAUAAUAAGGCUAAAGGUCUGUAGAAGGAAAUAAUCAAAUAUCUUACAGUAUAUCUAAUUGGUAAGUGGUAAUUUAUUUAUUUUUUUUGUGUUUUUUUUUUUUUUUUUAUACAUAUGCAUUUUUUUUUUUGGCUUUCCAUGUUUAAUACUAAUUGAACCCACAUGAUGUAUUGUCCCCAAAGUGCAAUUCCUUAUUUCACUGCUUCCAAAACAAAAAUGUUGUUCUAACUUUCCAGCUGCACAGGCAGCCAACGUGUUACUUCCAGUAAGUGGAAGAUUAUGUGUUAUAAUAUUCUCUUAAGCCAGGACAGGCCUAGCAUGUUUAAAGAGACAGAGCUGGGAGUUUGCUAGACUUCUUUGAGCAAAUACAUAACAAUUGUACCGGUUUCAGGACAUGAUCUUGAAAUCACUAACCUAUAAAGAAUGUGGCAAAGCAGGAGGAACAAUCUGUAAAGUAAAUUGGAUCCGAUUCUGGAGACCUUCUCAACAGACCUUGAAUCAGCAAAUUAUAGGACUAGUGGUGCUUUUGCUAAGCAUGCAAGGCUGCUGUACCCAAACAUGCUGUGGAGAACUGACGACUUGCCUGGAGUUGGCCUAUCAGUGGUCCCAGAGGGGCUACUUCAGAUAUCUGCUAGUGCCAACCGACGUUCACGUGGUGAUUGCAGAAGAACUCUUCCUCCAUUCUAGACGGCGAUAGGCUAGAGAAAACACAAAAGAUGCACUACCAGAAUUGUUCAAGAUCUGCAUAAUAACCUAUCCAGAGAGAAUGGAAGUUCUAGAUUGAAGCAGAGAAGGGAUGGGGGCUUGAUAGAAAGUUUCAAAUAUUGCUCUGGUUUUACCAGAAUACAAUUCCCAUUAAAAUGACAAUAUCUAGAGAAAUCAGACCGAGCCUGAUGUUGAAGAGGAAUUUCAAUGGGAACAUCAAGGGUUGUAGAUGCAUUUGUGCAUUUAUUCCAAUGCAUCUACAACCCUUAAUGUCUGUCCGCCCCCCCCCCCCUUUUUUUUUCUUCUUCUUCUUUUAUUCUUCAAUUAUUUUUUUUCUUGUGAUAUCCUGAUUAUUAGGAAUUUAAUAACUCUAUGAUUAUUUUUGCCUACAGCUAGUGGUUCCCAAACCAAUUGUCAAGGCACCCCUACCAGUCCAGGAUUUAGUGAUUACCCAGUUGUAUCUAAGGUGUUUAUAGAGAGAAAAAAAUUGCAAGGAAAGGUUCAGAUAAGUAAAACCUACCUACCCCUGCGUCCCUCGGCUACAAGCUGACAGUGCCCCUUUAAAUAUGGUUAAGCGAUCCAUUUAAAAAAUUACAUCUUUUUGUAUUUAGAUUUAUUUUUCUUUCCUUCUCUGUAUCAAUUGAUAAUUUAGUGCAUUAUGCUGAACAAUGUACUUAGAGACUACAAAAUAAGUUUAAAUACUAAACCGUAAUUUGUACUAAAUUAAAAUUAAAAUUUAGACCAUUCUAAGCCAUUUGACAAUGAAGCUUCUCUGGAGUCUUUUUUAAAACUUUGCCAUUUUUGUCCAAAUAAAGUUCAUUUAUUAAUUUUUAGUUUUAUUAGUGAAUAAAACCCAAUGAUUUAUCACACAUAUUAAAGGAGUACUAUAGGGUCAAGAACACAAACCUGUAUUCCUGACCGUAUAGGGUUAAAACCACCAUCUAGCCACACUGGUCCCCUCAUGCCUCCCUAAAUAUAGUAAAAUCUUACUUGUAUUCAAGUCUGAAGCUGCUUGCUUUGUCCCUGUUUCCUUUAGACCUGCCCACUGCCUGCUGACAUCAUCAGAAGUGGGUAGCCUGAUCCAAUCACAUGCAGACGGAGGAGACAUUGAAUGUUUGGAUGCAUUUUAGGCAGCCAUGACCCAGGAAGGAUCUCUAACAGCCAUCUGAGGAGUGGCCAGUGAAGUUAUCACUAGGCUGUAAUGUAAACACUGCAUUUUCUCUGAAAAGACAGUGUUUACAGCAAAAAGCCUGAAGUUAAUGAUUCUACUCACCAGAACAAAUUCAAUAAGCUGUAGUUGUUCUGGUGACUAUAGUGUCCCUUUAAGCAUAUGUUUAAGGCUGAGCCAUGUAUGAACAUGUCUCCGGUAGCUUGGAUAUCUAUUCAAUCUCAAGGUGUAGUGAUUUUGUAGAACACUUUGAGCCCAGGUCGAAAGAAUGCAGAGUUUCCCAGGUAGUCCAGGGAAAAAAAUAAAAAUAAAAAAUACACACCCUCACUUUCUUAUGUAAUCUACACUAUUAUAUAAGGACUCCCAUGAGAAAAGUAGCAGAAAGCCCAGAUAAUUAUCUAGUUCUGUAUGAAAUUAAACAUAUGGGGCUUGGCGGGCUGAUAUGAGGGUGUUCCUGUGAUGCAGUUUGUUCACUAGUGAAACUUGUGGCCGUGAAAGGAACAUAUCGUCCAAAUGUACUGCGCUACAGCCAGUCGUGCUCUAGUAUGGGUAAACACGUCCUGGAAAAGCCUUGUGCACGUGUGUUUGACACCAUGUUCACUAUGCUUUUUAGUGUUUCUUUUUCCUCACGUGUAGAAGUGAGACUCCAGAGGCGAUCCCUGUGAUAGUCUCAGGGUUCCUGAUUCAUGACUGUCCAGCUAGAUACAGAACUUUUAGCAAUCUUGUUACCUGAUUUUUAUAUCUGCUAAUUUUUUAUUUUUUUAUUUAUAUAUAUAUAUAUAUAUAUAUAUAUAUAUAUAUAUUUUUUUUUUUUGCAGCUUUUCACAUAAUCUAUAAACAAUAACCAUAAAUAAUAGGGGAAUGUUUGCAGAAACCAGCUUAUUAAAAUAGUUAAUUCAGAAAUUAAAGAGACUCUCCAGUGCCAGGAAAGCAAUCCAUUUUCCUGGCUCUGCAGGUCGCCUCUCCCUCCCAUCCCAGGUUGCUGAAGGGGUUAAAGCCCCUUCAGUGACUUACUUGUAUCCAGCGCCGAUGUCCCUCUGCGCUGGUUCAGGGUCCGCCCCCGCCGACGUCAUCCGGCGGGGGAGACCUAAUGCACAUGCGCGGCAAUGCCGCGGAUGCGCAUUAAACCUUCCCAAAUACUUUCAAUGCUUUCCUAUGGGGAUUUCAGCGACCCUGGAGGUCCUCACACAGCGUGAGGACAUCCAGCGACACUAUAGCACAGAAAAUCUGUGCUAUAAACCAGGAAGUACCCACUAGUGGCUGUCUAUGAAAACUGCAAUAUUUACAGCUGCAGGGUUAAGGGUAGUGGGAGUUGGCACCCAGACCACUCCAAUGGGCAGAAGUGGUCUGGGUGCCUGGAGUGUCCCUUUAAGUAGUCAACUGUAUUCGCAGAACUAAAGAAAAAUUUUAUAGCGUGUGGCCAGAAAACAAAGUGGAGAAGAGAAGGGAAAAAAGUAUAUAAAUUAACAAAUAAUACGGAUUUAUUAAUAAUCCACAGCACCCACCUUGACUCGCCAAAAGGCCUCAAAGUCAGGAAAUCACAUUGAGUGAAGGAGAACAUGUCUCAAAGUAGACCAAAUCCUCAAAUGAUCCGUUUUUAUUGUGCAUUGCGCCUGUGAUCCUUGGUAGUGCCAAAAAUUGGGGUGUGAAAAUGAAUUGUAAACUAAAAAAAAAUAAUAAAAAUUGUGCAACAAAUUCUGCAACUUUUGCAGUGAAAGGCUCAGAAUGGACAAGACGUAAUAAUGGCUAAGAAAAAUAAAACAACUAACAUUAUCAAAAUAUAAAUUUCUACAGCAUGAAUGUUAACACGGUCAGGGUUAUUUACUCAACAGAGCACUGUGGGAAUUUUUCUAGUAUGGCUAUGAAUUUGAAAUUUACUUUGAGUUCUAGACAAUGCUCCCUUUAUUGAAUAACUGUGUGGUUUUGUUUUCUUUCUUUUUAAUUUAUCUUAUUUUAUUUAAUAUUUUUAUUAUUAUUCAGAAAUGUAUUGUGCAGACGUACAAUAUAUAGAUGGGGGUAACCUAAUUACCUUGGAUGAGACAGAAAUGCCAGACUGAUGCAUUUGCAAACGCAGGAUGACUUUGACAGGCUGUUAACAUAAUGUUGAUUUAUUAUAAAUAAAUGUGUGCAGAAUAUUAUUAUUAUUAUUAUUUUUCUUUUCACUAUUGUAUUUUGAUAGCGACACUCCUGAAUAAUGAAUGACCAUGCUGGGUGCGCUUGGCACGUAGUGAUGGUGGAUAAGUUAAUGAUGUGAUAUGGGAACAAGCAAUAAAUUUUGAUAUUCACAAUCCACCCAGGGUUAUUCGCAAAAAUGCCAAUUGCCAGGAAUUGACCAUGGAAAUGCAAAUUUUACGGUCAAAUUCACUACCUGCAAAAUGGCUAGGGACUUACAGGAAACUGACCAGAGAACUGUGAAAUAAAAAAAAUAAAAAAAUGUCCAAAUCUGAAAAAUUCUCCUACAAUGCCAUUUAUCAUAGUUGGCUGUAUUAGCCUGGCAUUUGCAAUUAUAUUAAUAAAUCUUCACAGUUUAGUGAAUAAACCCCCUUUGUUUGUCUGUUUAGUGCAUGCUCUGAUUCCACGUCAUGAAAAGUCAGCGUCUAGCAGAGACCUCAGCCAUAGGUCUAAUACAGGUUGGGCCAAAAUUCAGAGUAGGAUUUGACAAGUAAAUAACUUAUUUAUUAAUAGUUACAUUUUCACAGGAAAUUUCACAAAGUAACAAAGAAGAAAAAUAGUGAAUUUUAAUUUAUUUAUUUUUAAACAAAAUUUCAGGUUCAUUAUUUUGACGCAAAGAGCUUACCACCGCCACGUCAAUGGUUUUAACAGAAUGGGGCUAGUACCAAUGCAGCCUG